Molecule: ribosomal RNA, 497 nt
Filed under: uncultured bacterium
Lineage: Bacteria
Description: partial 16S ribosomal RNA
Rfam family: Bacterial small subunit ribosomal RNA
Source: RNAcentral
GACGAACGCUGGCGGCGUGCCUAAUACAUGCAAGUUGAGCGCUGAAGGUUGGUACUUGUACCAACUGGAUGAGCAGCGAACGGGAGAGUAACGCGUGGGGAAUCUGCCUUUGAGCGGGGGACAACAUUUGGAAACGAAUGCUAAUACCGCAUAAAAACUUUAAACACAAGUUUUAAGUUUGAAAGAUGCAAUUGCAUCACUCAAAGAUGAUCCCGCGUUGUAUUAGCUAGUUGGUGAGGUAAAGGCUCACCAAGGCGAUGAUACAUAGCCGACCUGAGAGGGUGAUCGGCCACAUUGGGACUGAGACACGGCCCAAACUCCUACGGGAGGCAGCAGUAGGGAAUCUUCGGCAAUGGACGAAAGUCUGACCGAGCAACGCCGCGUGAGUGAAGAAGGUUUUCGGAUCGUAAAACUCUGUUGGUAGAGAAGAACGUUGGUGAGAGUGGAAAGCUCAUCAAGUGACGGUAACUACACAGAAAGGGACGGCUAACUACGUG